Molecule: long non-coding RNA, 661 nt
Filed under: Marmota monax (woodchuck)
Lineage: Eukaryota; Metazoa; Chordata; Mammalia; Rodentia; Sciuridae
Source: RNAcentral
AUUACCCAGGUCACUUAUAUGGAAAAUAGUACUAAUGUAAGCAAGAAUAAGCAGCCAGCCUAAUAAUAGCAUCCUAACUAGGGUUUAAACGCCUCAUCUUAAGUUUAAGAAGAUUGUUCUUAUGGCGAGUAACUUGCCACUUGGAGUUCGAAUCCAAAAUGAAGUCGCUCCUCACAGCAAAUGGGUCCACUGGCUUUGCCUGAGAGUAGUGGAUUCAGGUAGCAAUUCCAUCAACCUGAGAGCUGUGGGUGUUGUGAGGAUCACCACAUAUGGUCCCUUCCAGCGAGGUUGCAGUUGUUGGGUGCAGAGCAGGCUGAACUGUGUUGUCUGCAGGGCAGGCUGAACAGAUGUUGGCUGCAAGAUAGCCCACGCACUCAAACCCCUCCCCCCUCUAUCUGGUCCUUUAUCACCUGUUUGCCUCAAGUCUGAACAUUCAACCCUGCUCAAGGCUGAACACUUAACCCCCCCUUGGGCCAACAAGGCAGCUUGCAGACCCAGAGGCCCCAUUAGAUUUGGACUAUAAAAACUCCCUCCUGCCAGGCCCCCCUCUCUCUUGCUCUCUCUCUUGCUCUCUUUGUCUUUCUUGCACGCGCGCUCUCUCUCUCUUGCUCUCCCCCUCCCCUCCCCUCCCCUCCCCUCCCUUCUCUUCUCUUCUCUUCUG